ACUUUAUAAAAUGAAACUUGUAUACUAUACAAGUAUGAAUUGCCUUUUAAAAGCUCCGUCUGAUUAGGUUAGGGUCCUGCGCAAUAAGACUCUGCGAAUCUUGUCAGGUCCGGAAGGAAGCAGCAAUAAGUGGAAGCUCUUAUGUGCCGCAGACAAGCCUUCUCCAAAGUCGGCGGAGCUUUUAAAGGGCAGU
This 193-nucleotide signal recognition particle RNA is filed under the name Aminipila terrae. RNAcentral's name for it is "Aminipila sp. CBA3637 signal recognition particle sRNA large type". It matches the Rfam family "Bacterial large signal recognition particle RNA". From Rfam's summary of the family: The signal recognition particle (SRP) is a universally conserved ribonucleoprotein involved in the co-translational targeting of proteins to membranes. Archaeal SRP consists of a 7S RNA and homologues of the eukaryotic SRP19 and SRP54 proteins. The record is from RNAcentral. Lineage: Bacteria; Bacillati; Bacillota; Clostridia; Peptostreptococcales; Anaerovoracaceae.